This 428-nucleotide ribosomal RNA is filed under the name uncultured bacterium. RNAcentral's name for it is "bacterial SSU rRNA". It matches the Rfam family "Bacterial small subunit ribosomal RNA", at positions 29 to 454 of the family's 1533-position model. The record is from RNAcentral.
AUUGAACGCUGGCGGCAUGCUUUACACAUGCAAGUCGAACGGCAGCGGGGGCUUCGGCCUGCCGGCGAGUGGCGAACGGGUGAGUAAUGCAUCGGAACGUGCCCAGUCAUGGGGGAUAACUACGCGAAAGCGUAGCUAAUACCGCAUACGCCCUGAGGGGGAAAGCGGGGGAUCGCAAGACCUCGCGUGAUUGGAGCGGCCGAUGUCGGAUUAGCUAGUUGGUGGGGUAAAGGCCUACCAAGGCGACGAUCCGUAGCGGGUCUGAGAGGAUGAUCCGCCACACUGGGACUGAGACACGGCCCAGACUCCUACGGGAGGCAGCAGUGGGGGAAUAUUGCACAAUGGGGGAAACCCUGAUGCAGCCAUGCCGCGUGUGUGAAGAAGGCCUUCGGGUUGGUUAAAGACACUUUCAGCGAGGAGGAAAGGGU